GCCUACGAGUCACCGUGGCCAGCGAGGGUAAGCAUUUCAGAUGCGCACCCGUAGCGAGAGCGAGUCUUAACAGGGCGAACUAGUUGGUCGAGGUGGACGCGAAACCGUGUGAUCUACCCUUGGGCAGGUUGAAGCUGUGGUAACACAUAGUGGAGGACCGAACCCGUUGACGUUGAAAAGUCUUGGGAUGACCUGAGGGUAGGGGUGAAAGGCCAAUCAAACUUCGUGAUAGCUGGUUCUCCCCGAAAUGCAUUUAGGUGCAGCGUUGUAUGUAUUUAUAUAGAGGUAGAGCUACUGAUUGGAUGCGGGGGCUUCACCGCCUACCAAUUCCUGACAAACUCCGAAUGCUAUAUAAACUGUACAGCAGUGAGGGCAUGGGUGCUAAGGUCCAUGUCCGAGAGGGAAACAACCCGGACCACCAGCUAAGGUCCCUAAGUGUGUAUUAAGUUGAGAAAACGCGGUCGGACUGCUUUGACAGCCAGGAUGUUGGCUUGGAAGCAGCCAUUCAUUUAAAGAGUGCGUAACAGCUCACUGGUCGAGCGGGGCGGGCAUCGAUAAUAAACGGGCAUAAAGUAUAGUACCGAAGCUUAGAAUUGUAAUUUAUUACAGUGGUAGGGGAGCAUUCUCAUAGCGGUGAAGGUGUGUGGCGAUGCAUGCUGGAGCGAUGAGAAAAGCAAAUGUAGGAAUAAGUAGCGAUAAUGUAUGUGAGAAACAUACACACCGAAAGACUAAGGAUUCCUCCGCUAUGCUAAUCAACGGAGGGUUAGUCGGAUCCUAAGGAUAAUGCGAGAGCAGAGGCCGAUGGGAACAAUGUUAAUAUUCAUUGACCUGUAUUAAUUGCGAAGCGGGGACGGAUUUUGAAGCUUCAUACGUACUGACGGAAUAGUGCGUUGAGCGGCGGCUUAGGCUAAAGCGAAUGGGGGGACAAGGUUCCAAGAAAAGCCGAUAAGCUCUAGAUUAAUACAGACCGUACCGUAAACCGACACAGGUAGUCGAGGCGAGAAGCCUAAGGUGCUCGAGUGAUUCACGGCUAAGGAAUUAGGCAAAUUAACCCUGUAACUUCGGGAUAAGGGGAGCCCUCAUAAUAAAAUGAGGGCCGCAGAGAAAUGGCCCAGGCGACUGUUUAGCAAAAACACAUGGCUAUGCGAAGAUUAAUGUCGACGUAUAUGGCCUGACACCUGCCCGGUGCUGGAAGGUUAAAAGGGGGGCUUAGCAGCAAUGCGAAGGUCUGAAUUGAAGCCCCAGUAAACGGCGGCCGUAACUAUAACGGUCCUAAGGUAGCGAAAUUCCUUGUCGGGUAAGUUCCGACCUGCACGAAUGGUGUAACCAUGGCCACGCUGUCUCCACCCG
This 1350-nucleotide ribosomal RNA is filed under the name Lingulaulax polyedra. Its description in RNAcentral is "bacterial LSU rRNA". It matches the Rfam family "Bacterial large subunit ribosomal RNA", at positions 619 to 2027 of the family's 2925-position model. Lineage: Eukaryota; Dinophyceae; Gonyaulacales; Lingulodiniaceae. The record is from RNAcentral.